Molecule: ribosomal RNA, 558 nt
Filed under: Bacillus sp. (in: firmicutes)
Lineage: Bacteria; Bacillati; Bacillota; Bacilli; Caryophanales; Bacillaceae
Description: bacterial SSU rRNA
Rfam family: Bacterial small subunit ribosomal RNA
Source: RNAcentral
GUUAGCGGCGGACGGGUGAGUAACACGUGGGUAACCUGCCCAUAAGACUGGGAUAACUCCGGGAAACCGGGGCUAAUACCGGAUAACAUUUUGAACCGCAUGGUUCGAUAUUGAAAGACGGCUUCGGCUGUCACUUAUGGAUGGACCCGCGUCGCAUUAGCUAGUUGGUGAGGUAACGGCUCACCAAGGCGACGAUGCGUAGCCGACCUGAGAGGGUGAUCGGCCACACUGGAACUGAGACACGGCCCAGACUCCUACGGGAGGCAGCAGUAGGGAAUCUUCCGCAAUGGACGAAAGUCUGACGGAGCAACGCCGCGUGAGUGAUGAAGGUUUUCGGAUCGUAAAACUCUGUUGUUAGGGAAGAACAAGUGCUAGUUGAACUAAGCUUGCACCUUGACGGUACCUAACCAGAAAGCCACGGCUAACUACGUGCCAGCAGCCGCGGUAAUACGUAGGUGGCAAGCGUUAUCCGGAAUUAUUGGGCGUAAAGCGCGCGCAGGUGGUUUCUUAAGUCUGAUGUGAAAGCCCACGGCUCAACCGUGGAGGGUCAUUGGAAAC